GUCUAGGACUGCAAGGCCACCACAACUACAGUUUCAUGCCACACUGUCACUCAAGUAUUUAACACCAAAACAUAUAAGCAAAAAGGAACAGUGAUGCCUAAAGUAAAUAAAACCAAUACAAUAAUGUCAGAGCGAAGUUGAAAAAUUAGAGGGGAAACAGCAAACAGACUGAGGGAGAGAAGUGCAGUUGAAAAAAUGUCUCUACAGCAAAUGUCAGUACCCUAAGAGAAUUGCCUCAGCAAUGGUCAGUAAGAACUGGCACUGGCCCUCCCCAUGAUCACUGGGCAUGCAAACACUGUCUGACUAGACUGCAGCCUGGUGAGGAGUGUGGGUCAGAGGCUCUACCCCAUCAUUAAUUCUGGGCUGUUUUUACACUGCAGGGGACAUCUGUCCAGUACCCAUCUUAAACAUGGUUCAUAUCUUUGUAUUACUUCAGCAUGCCCCUGUAUUCUCUGAACAUCCCCACAGCCAAUCCCACCAGCCAACCUCCAAAGGGAGCAUGCUUCCCCAUACAGCACUUUAGAAAACAGGUCUGAGCGGGAGCCUGGGCCAAGGGGUGUUUUUAUAAUUUAGUCCCAUCAGUCGCCUCCCCCUUCCUUUUCUCUAGUUAAGUGCAAAAGCUCUCCAAUGUGCAUGUCAUCUGUCCUUGAACUAAUAGCUUUCUGUCACUACAUUGCAGGAAUUUCAACUUCUUACCCUUCCAUAAGGUUGGCUCCAAAACAUUUACCAAGUGGUAUUUAGAGCUGAAGCUACUACUAAGUUUGGACACUGUACACUUGGUCAACAAUUCCAUGCUGUGCUGAAAUAUUGUUUGGUUGCCACCACGGCUCAGUGAAGGAGUCCUAGUGCCCUGGCUGCCCAGCUGCUAUUUACUUUUAUCCAGAAGAAGAGGCAUACAAAGACUGGUCUGUCUCUGGAGAAAGCUCCCUGGACCAAACAAACAUCAAGCCAUGGCAAGAUGUUUUUUGUGACCAAGAACAAGCUGUCUGACAGCUGAGGAGCCUUAAGGAACAGGAUUAUUCUUCUCUCUCAUCUUCUCUCCUACCAAAGAUUAUUAUUUAUCACUGGCCCACUGCCUUGGAAAGAGCCAGGAUUUCUGUAAGGAUACUUCAAAUCUAUUAUUUCUUAGAAUACAUUUAAAUGCAAAAUCUACCUUCUUGGAUGGGAAAGAAACAAAAUAGCAAUUUAAUUUCAAAUUCUUAAAGCACGCAGGUCACCCAUGAAAAAAUACAUAUUACAGUUAUCAACUGUGCAGCUCCUCUUACACUUCCAGUGAUUUUAGCAAUGACUGAUGGCAACCAUAAGAUCUCAGUCUCAUCACUCCUAUUUUGUGCCCAAAUUACCUUUACAUUACUACACCUCAACUACUGUUCAAGAAGAGAUGCAAUUUAAGGCAUCUUAUUGCCAGAAUGAAUGAAAAUAUGCAGGCACUGAGGUAAGCUCAACUGCUUCCUUCAAAGGUAAGAUCUUUCUAGUCAACAAGGCACAACAAAACACGUAUAAGAAAUAGUAGUUUCCCUCUUCUGCAGAAUAGUGCCAUCUUA
Long non-coding RNA from Prinia subflava (tawny-flanked prinia), 1544 nucleotides. RefSeq lists it as uncharacterized. The record is from RefSeq and is a predicted model, not a curated record. The transcript is spliced from 3 exons. NCBI's taxonomy places the organism in Eukaryota, Metazoa, Chordata, Aves, Passeriformes, Cisticolidae.